Molecule: ribosomal RNA, 468 nt
Filed under: uncultured bacterium
Lineage: Bacteria
Description: partial 16S ribosomal RNA
Rfam family: Bacterial small subunit ribosomal RNA
Source: RNAcentral
GACGAACGCUGGCGGCGUGCUUAACACAUGCAAGUCGAACGGUGAAGCUCCAGCUUGCUGGAGUGGAACAGUGGCGAACGGGUGAGUAACACGUGAGCAACCUGCCCCUGACUCUGGAAUAAGCGCUGGAAACGGCGUCUAAUACUGGAUACGAGAAGGGUCCGCAUGGGCACUUUCUGGAAAGUUUUUCGGUUGGGGAUGGGCUCGCGGCCUAUCAGCUUGUUGGUGAGGUAAUGGCUCACCAAGGCGACGACGGGUAGCCGGCCUGAGAGGGCGACCGGCCACACUGGGACUGAGACACGGCCCAGACUCCUACGGGAGGCAGCAGUGGGGAAUAUUGCACAAUGGGCGAAAGCCUGAUGCAGCGACGCCGCGUGAGGGAUGACGGCCUUCGGGUUGUAAACCUCUUUCAGCAGGGAAGAAGCGAAAGUGACGGUACCUGCAGAAGAAGCACCGGCUAACUACGUG